RNAcentral lists this non-coding RNA (85 nucleotides) under Sporomusa acidovorans. RNAcentral describes it as "GEMM cis-regulatory element". It matches the Rfam family "c-di-GMP-I riboswitch aptamer". From Rfam's summary of the family: GEMM was predicted in a large-scale screen for bacterial structured RNA regulatory elements. Genes associated with GEMM are involved in a diverse array of functions, including chemotaxis regulation, signal transduction, secretion and chitin. Lineage: Bacteria; Bacillati; Bacillota; Negativicutes; Selenomonadales; Sporomusaceae. The record is from RNAcentral. RNAcentral also lists the same sequence under 1 other name.
UAAUAUUUUUGGCAAACUUAUCGAAAGAUAAGGACGCAAAGCCAUGGGUCUAAAGAUUUUUUUCUAUGAUUGCCAGGUUGCUGAU